Molecule: long non-coding RNA, 453 nt
Organism: Platichthys flesus (European flounder)
Lineage: Eukaryota; Metazoa; Chordata; Actinopteri; Pleuronectiformes; Pleuronectidae
Exons: 3
Source: RefSeq, a predicted model, not a curated record
AGGACGACAACAGGUGGUCUGAUGCAGUUGCACAAUUUGUCCGUGUAGGAACUUUUCAAUCACCUCCGCUGCAAUUUAUUCCUGUGCAAAAGGGGGAGACACGGAUCGCCCUGAGGCUGGCCAGGGACACCAGGCUGCACUGAUACUUCACAUUGUGCCGCUGCUGUGUAAAAGCAAUGGAGCUACUGGAACAUGCAGGGACGGCACAGCGCUUAGACAAGGCUGCCACUCUCUCCACAAGGGCAUCGGAGGCAGCUGAACCAUCCAGCGUGGCCCCAACAGAUGGCUCUCUGAACACAAGUGAGCCACGGAGAUGUUAAAGAAUGCCAAUGGGACUCCCCCUUCUCUCACUCCUUCGUCUGAGAAGGAGGCAAACAGAUAAAGAGCAAGGCAGAGAGGCAGUCGCUGAGAAGAACAACGGAGGAAGGUGUGUGCAUGAGAAGUGCUGGUGGA